Molecule: long non-coding RNA, 2912 nt
Organism: Gossypium raimondii (Peruvian cotton)
Lineage: Eukaryota; Viridiplantae; Streptophyta; Magnoliopsida; Malvales; Malvaceae
Exons: 2
Source: RefSeq, a predicted model, not a curated record
UGAAAAACUUUGAUGCACUUUCCUUAUUUGCCAUUAUAAUUUUGAAGGUCGUGACAAAUGACAUGCCCCAUGUCCAUGAACCAACCACGUGGGAUGUUUGAUGAUAAUUGUUUGGUCCUUUUGCUUUCUGGAUAGGAUAAGGAUGGAUUAAUGCAAGUUUUUCUCUUUUGUUUGCUAUAUAGGUCCUAGUUCUAAGUUCUUACAAAACAAGAAAAUGUGUAGACGAUGAGUUGGCAAGGAAUUCAACUAUAUUGUUUGUCUCUUUGUGGAGAAACUGGAUUUUUAAGGCUUCUCUUAGUUUGAUUGUAUAUUUCUUAUUGGGAUUGCAAUUUGAUCUUCGGCGGCUAAGCUGAUUGCGUAUAUUAGAGUGUUUGAGCAAAGAUCAACUCGCCUUCUCAUGAAUUAUAUGGAGGAUUGCUACUUUCUUUUUAUGGAUGAUUGGUACAAUAAUUGUUGUUACUGUUGUUUAUCCUUAAUUAACAUUUAAAAUAUAGCAAAUAAAUGAUUAUUUCUUAAUUUAAGUUAGAAAAGCCUGCCACUAAUAUAGCCAAUUAAUCGCUUUUUCAGUUUAUAUUUUGUUCAGCUCUUUUGGGUCCUAACUCUUAAAUUUGCAAUGUCUUCUGGGAUACAAAACCAAUUCAUUUCUAUUAGUUUAUGUCACUUACCCAAAAGAAUUAUGCAUGUAAAAACAAUCUAAUUUUAGUUUAAAGCUUUAGGAUUUAGAUUUAUUAUGAAUUUAAAAAUUAUAUUUUAAUAAAAUUAAAAAAAUCAACGUUUACAUAAUCAAAUUAGUGGUUGAACUGAUUAGUCCCACUAAUUCGACUGGUAUGUCCAUUUGAUUAAAUAAAUUAUUAAAAAUUAUCAACAUAAAUAAAUAAAAAUCAGUUCAACUAUUCCAUACCAAUUUUCAAGUCAAUCAAUCUUAUGCCUUUUUCUAAGCCAGUAUCUCAAUCGAUUCUCAAUCCAACCAGCCUUACUAGCAAGUCCAAUUUGAUUCAAACAAUCAUGAAAAAAAACACUUCAUAGUAAUAUUUGUUUUUUUUUUUUAAGAUUGAUUUGCAAAUCUUUUUCUAAUUGAGCUGGGUUCGAUUAACUUAGAACAUUAACUCAAGACUUAAUAAUAAUAUAGUUAGAUGUCAAUUAAGUCUUAGCUUAGUUGGCGUCGACAUUAUUACCAAUACAAGAGGAUGUAAAUUCAAGUGCGCUCAAACACCUUUUAUCUUAUCUGUAAAAAUAAAUAUUUCAUAUUUAAUUAAUUGACACACAAAAAUGUUUUUAUUUUUAAAAGAGCACAAAAUUACAUCAAUGCAGUCCAUCAUGGGAGUAUAACUUUACAAAUAUAUCAUAAUUACACAAUAAUUAUAAAUAUAUAUGUAGGGACAAAGUUAAACUUUUUUACUAGAUUAAGUUGUAUAUUUUAUGAUAGUAAAAGUGUAAUUUUAUCAUUUUAAUAGUUUAUAUCUUUAUAGUUUUUAAAAGAUUAAUUAAAAUUUAUCAUUUUGGGGGUAAAUUGCAACUUUAUCAUUUCUAUUUUAAAAUUUUAUAAAUUAUAAAAAAGUUAAAAAGAAGAAAAUUAUCUUUUCAGGAGGGCCGAGGCCCUACCAACUCCUGAAUCCACCCCUACAUAUACGACACUUUCUUUUUUAUUCGCAAAAUAUAUGGAACUUUUAACAUACAUAAAUAUGACAAGAAAAGAUAGCAUAACUAAAAAAUACAAUGACUUGAGACUUAGUCCAAUUGGUAUAAUAACUUUUACAACAAUAAGAAUGACAUUGGUUCAAACGUAUUUAAGCAUGUUUUUCUUCGAUUUAAGGAUUUAGGUCUAUAACUAGAAAUAGACAUCGUAAAAAGCAACUAAACAAGUACUUACGCAGUUAUUACCAAAAUAAAUCAUCAUAAGUAUUAGAUUUAAUAAGUAACUCAUAUUAACUCAUAUAUAAUUUACAUGAUUGUAACUCAAACAUGUGACCUCAAUUUUACUAUUAAGGAAAGGCUUUAUUCUCUACAAAUUUUAAAAACAUAUUUUUAAUUGUUAGGACAUCUCUGAUUAAAGGUUGAAGUCUAGUUAAUUUAGAGUAUUAAACUAUAAAUCAUUCCUUAAACUUCCUGACAAUAUAUUAUAGGGUAGUUUAGUUCCAAAGUGUUACAAAAUAAGAUAGGCUGCCAAGAGGAGAUUGAUUUAACAAAAUUGAUUUGAACCACAAUUUUCUUAUUCAAGCUUCUUCGCUUUUGAUUAAUUUCAUUUCCAAAUAUUUAUUUUGAUUUAAUGAUUAAAAAUAGUGUAAAAUUUAUUACUUUUAAUAUAAUAAAGCUAAUUUCUUAUCGUUUAGCUUACAUUAUACAACAGCUUUGUAAAGAGUUUUUCAUUCAUCAAAUUAGCACAUAAGAACGGAAGGAAAGGGCAACUUAGAAAAAAUGUUCUUUUAACAAGUUUGUGUCACAGGUCGCAGUUCAAAGCCCAUGACCAUUGUAUAAAAUACAUCCUAUGAGGUCUAUCAGUUAGAUGGAGAUUAUUUGACUCACGAAAACUGACCCGAUUCAAAGAACUAAUGGAGAAGCCUAUCUAUUUAAAGCCUGGGUGGCUCAAUGAAGCAGAUAUAAAAAAUUAGGCUACCUUGGUAAAUAGGGAAACUAAUCUUAUAAGAUUGAGGGGAAUCAUAUCUGAUAAGAUUUGAUUUGAUUUGAUUAUGUAAAUCUUGUAAAUCCCUUAAUUAUUGGGAUAGACUUCAUCUCGUCUUGUAAAUCCCUUAAUUAUUGGGAUAGACUUCAUCUCGUCCGCCGAUGUAAAUUUAGCUAAACCAUUGGAUUUGGGGGAGCUCAUCUAUGAAUAGAGAGCCUCCCCCUCAGUUGUAAAUCACUCAUUGUAUUCCAUUCUUUAGUUGUGAAUAUUAAAUUGAGAGCAUUUACUCAAA